GGCGAUGUGGCUCUGAGGUAGGGCAUCCGCUUGGCACGCAGGAGGUCCCGGGUUCAAUUCCUGGAAUCUCCA
RNAcentral lists this transfer RNA (72 nucleotides) under Sphaerodactylus townsendi. RNAcentral's name for it is "tRNA-Ala". It matches the Rfam family "tRNA". From Rfam's summary of the family: Transfer RNA (tRNA) molecules are approximately 80 nucleotides in length. Their secondary structure includes four short double-helical elements and three loops (D, anti-codon, and T loops). Further hydrogen bonds mediate the characteristic L-shaped molecular structure. tRNAs have two regions of fundamental functional importance: the anti-codon, which is responsible for specific mRNA codon recognition, and the 3' end, to which the tRNAs corresponding amino acid is attached (by aminoacyl-tRNA synthetases). tRNAs cope with the degeneracy of the genetic code in two manners: having more than one tRNA (with a specific anti-codon) for a particular amino acid; and 'wobble' base-pairing, i.e. permitting non-standard base-pairing at the 3rd anti-codon position. The record is from RNAcentral. Lineage: Eukaryota; Metazoa; Chordata; Lepidosauria; Squamata; Sphaerodactylidae.